This 588-nucleotide long non-coding RNA is filed under the name Androctonus crassicauda. The record is from RNAcentral. Lineage: Eukaryota; Metazoa; Arthropoda; Arachnida; Scorpiones; Buthidae.
UUUGAUAUUCACUCAUCCAUUACUCGUGUCAUUCCCUUCUUAUUGUUUCCAAUGCCAUUGGUAGUUCAGUAGCCAUUAUGUCAUUUAAUAAUCUCUUUUUUAUGCCUCCUUGUUAUUUCUAUCAUUUCUGCUGUCAAUGCCUUAGUUUUCUUCCUAAUCUGUUUUAUUAUUUUUGCAUUUUCUCAUUCUAUUUUCAAAUCUAUCAUAUAUGCUUCCAUUACCAAAGCUGUGUUCAUUGGCAAUGGAAGCAUAUCCCCUUGGCUAUGUCCUUUUUGUGUUGAUCCAAACUUUGGGCUAGGGUUAGAUAAGAGUGACAAUUGAACCCUAGCCAAAAGGUUUAGUGAACAGCAAUGAUAAACUGUUUUGUAAUAUUAAUGAAUUUGUUUAUCAUAAAUAUUAUAUAGUAUUCUAAUAAAUUGUCAACAGAAAUACUAGAGUCAAAUUAAAACAUAAAUUUUAAUUUUUUAGUAGAAAUUUUAUAUUCAGCUUUAAAUGUGAUUAUAUUUCUUGAUUAUUUGAAUGUAAUUUUUAAACUUUUAUCUUUAUUUCAAAAUUAAUCUGAAAAAUAUGAUGAUUUCUUAUGAUUGC